RNAcentral lists this ribosomal RNA (253 nucleotides) under uncultured bacterium. RNAcentral's name for it is "partial 16S ribosomal RNA". It matches the Rfam family "Bacterial small subunit ribosomal RNA", at positions 524 to 776 of the family's 1533-position model. The record is from RNAcentral.
UACAGAGGUCUCGAGCGUUAGGCGGAAUCACUGGGCUUAAAGCGUGUGUAGGUGGAUCGUUAAGUACCUUGUGAAAUCCCACGGCUUAACCGUGGAACUGCUUGGUAUACUGGCGGUCUUGAGCCAGCUAGGGGCUACCGGAACAAAUGGUGGAGCGGUGAAAUGCGUAGAUAUCACUUGGAACGCCAAAGGUGAAAACAGUCUGCUGGGGAUCUGCUGACGCUGAGACACGAAAGCCAGGGGAGCGAACGGG